ACGGAAGGUCCAGGCGUUAUCCGGAUUUAUUGGGUUUAAAGGGAGCGUAGGCCGUUUGGUAAGCGUGUUGUGAAAUGUCGGGGCUCAACCUGGGCAUUGCAGCGCGAACUGCCAGACUUGAGUGCGCAGGAAGUAGGCGGAAUUCGUCGUGUAGCGGUGAAAUGCUUAGAUAUGACGAAGAACUCCGAUUGCGAAGGCAGCCUGCUGUAGCGCAACUGACGCUGAAGCUCGAAAGCGUGGGUAUCGAACAG
RNAcentral lists this ribosomal RNA (251 nucleotides) under uncultured bacterium. RNAcentral describes it as "partial 16S ribosomal RNA". It matches the Rfam family "Bacterial small subunit ribosomal RNA", at positions 525 to 775 of the family's 1533-position model. The record is from RNAcentral.